This 96-nucleotide microRNA precursor is filed under the name Paenibacillus methanolicus. RNAcentral's name for it is "microRNA mir-598". Lineage: Bacteria; Bacillati; Bacillota; Bacilli; Caryophanales; Paenibacillaceae. The record is from RNAcentral.
UCAUGGCGAUGAUGCUCAUGAUCGUGUCCGUCAUGAUGGUCAUGAUUGUGAUGAUGAUCGUGUCCGUCAUGAUGGUCAUGAUCGUGAUGAUGAUCG